This 72-nucleotide transfer RNA is filed under the name Ixodes scapularis (black-legged tick). It matches the Rfam family "tRNA". Rfam says of the family: Transfer RNA (tRNA) molecules are approximately 80 nucleotides in length. Their secondary structure includes four short double-helical elements and three loops (D, anti-codon, and T loops). The record is from Rfam by way of RNAcentral. Lineage: Eukaryota; Metazoa; Arthropoda; Arachnida; Ixodida; Ixodidae.
GCCUCGGUGGCUUCGAGGUAAAGCGCCGGCCUACGGAUCCCCAGGUGGUGGGUUCGAAUCCCGGCCGAGGUG